RNAcentral lists this ribosomal RNA (480 nucleotides) under uncultured bacterium. Its description in RNAcentral is "partial 16S ribosomal RNA". It matches the Rfam family "Bacterial small subunit ribosomal RNA", at positions 28 to 523 of the family's 1533-position model. The record is from RNAcentral.
GAUGAACGCUGGCGGCGUGCUUAACACAUGCAAGUCGAACGGUAAGGCCCUUUCGGGGGUACACGAGUGGCGAACGGGUGAGUAACACGUGGGUGAUCUGCCCUGCCCUUUGGGAUACGCUUGGGAAACUGGGUCUAAUACCGAAUAGGACUACGCUACGCAUGGGGGGUGCUGGAAAGCUUUUGCGGUGUGGGAUGGGCCCGCGGCCUAUCAGCUUGUUAGUGUGGUGAUGUCCGACCAAGGCGACGAAGGGUAGCCGGCCUGAGAGGGUGUCCGGCCACACUGGGACUGAGAUACGGCCAGAACUGAUACGGGAGGCAGCAGUGGGGAAUAUUGCACAAUGGGCGCAAGCCUGAUGCAGCGACGCCGCGUGGGGGAUGACGGCCUUCGGGUUGAAAACCUCUUUCAGCACAGACGAAGCGCAAGUGACGGUAUGUGCAGAAGAAGGACCGGCCAACUACGUGCCAGCCGCCGCCGUAA